AGCGGGAGGCGCGGGCCCAGGGGCCCCUUUUUCUCGUCUGGCUGCAGAGCGGCGCGAAAAUAUAUAAAGAGAUUGUGGCAUGAAAGGAGGCUUGAUCCUGAAAAUGAGACACAGGGGGGGCAAAUGUGAAUACUGCAAACGCAGGAGGUUUUUUCCUAGAGCUGAGAAGAAUCAAAAGAUCCCAUGGUCCAAGAAGUCUGCAUCCUAGAUGUGAGUUGCUCUUGAGGAGGACAGCACUAAUUUCCUUUGAAAUGGUAUAACAUAAAUGCUGUUGAAGGCAGACAGCAAUCCAAAUAUGGACUACACCUUUCUGGGGGACUCAUCCAUGGUUCUGACUUUCAGCCAUUGAAAAUACCAACCUUUUAAAAGCCACAAUCAGAGGUGUCAAACCAGACGUGCUUGAGGAGCAGUAUGAUGUACCUUCCUGGGCUACGGAAGUAUUGCAAUGUCUAGCACUAUAUGAGGACGGCAUUUAUCUAAUAUGCUGGGGCACUUUGUUUGCAGAUGAUGCCUGUAGGUUUGUGUUUUCUAACAAACCUGGCAGCAGCAAAAGAAACCAUUUGGGGUCUUUGCACUUGAAGUUUGCUAGAUAUAUCUUGAGCCUCUACCAUGCACUGCCUCAAAGUCACUGCAAGCACUACAGACAGUGAAUGUGAAUAUAAUAUGCGGUGAUGUAAAUAUAUUCUUUGCAACUCUAAAUGUUCUCAGUAACCUGUUUAGCCAAGGUGCCAAUAAAGAAUAAAUAGCUAUUCUGAUCUUCACAUUGCUUCUCUGAGUGUUCCUGAUAAUGCUCUAUGCAUGUAUUUUCCAGGCAUUUUCAGAUUAGCAAAUGGAUAGUGAAACCAUAAAGAGACUAGUUUAAACUGACUUUCUUCCUGCCUUGGGGUGGGGGCAUCAUUUAAGUGUCAGUCUAAAGAGAAAAGGGCCUACCCAAUUGUCUAAAGUGAAUUAUAUUGAUGUAUUCACAGUACCAUAAGUAAUAUCCAUUUGAACCAUUCCAAUUUUUUUUAUUUUUAAAUUGCAUUCAAAAAAUUAUUUAAAUUCACUUCUGAUUCAACUGGCAAAAGAUGGAAAAUCUGGCACUUAACUAGGCAGAAUCCUUAAAAACUCUUCAACUGAGUGCCCUUUUAAUGCAAUAGCAUGCAUCACGUUCGGAUUGCUGGCCUUGCCUUUGCAAUUCUAGGCCCCUUUCUUUUCCUUUUUUCUACCCACUGUAGUUGUAUAGUAUUUAACAAGUCAGAGUAACUUCUAUGGACAUAACACAAUUAAUCUGAAACCCCAAACAAACAAAAUACCCCCCCCCACAAAAGAUGCUUAGCCUUCUGGUGUAUGAAUUACUGUGGUGCAAAGCUGGCCUGGCUCUGGGAAAGCAAGUUAGACUGGCUGCAAGCUAGAUUUAAAGCAUUUGUUGCCACUAAAACAUUUUCCCCAUAAAUAACAGUUGAGUGGUGAUGAUGAUCUUAUAGAACUAAUAGAAGGGACUGAUAUCUCCACUCCAAAGGGCUCAUAACUUUACAGCUAUGACAUUAAAGAUUGCUUUCAGAGGCCAUAUAUCCCAUGGGACAGAAUUUUUUUUCUAGUGAUUGUACUUCAGAUGUGCUUAACUUCACGAAGCUACUGUCGGAUCACCAGCAUGCAGUCUAGCAGAAUGGAUAAAAUCGUGCAGGGAAUGGAGAACCAACAAUAGUUUACAUAAACUAAACACCCCGCUCAAUCCAUGUGUUCAGAGCAUCUUGAAUGCUAAAGGAUUAUUAUAAGUAAAUACAAAUGGAAACAAAGGGUCAGUCCUUCAAUAGCAAGUAGUGUUCAGACAGCCAAAUGAGAUUUGUUUUUGUUGCUUACUGAAAAAUUGUCUGAAAUUCCUUUAUUUUUAUUUUGGUGCAGAGGAAGAGCAGUGGAUUAAUGGGGGAUUAGCCUUUUACCUUUCCAGUCAAAUCCUGUCAAUUUUAAAAGUGCCGAUUAAACCAAGGGGUGGAUUUGGACCUGAACUGGUGUCUGAGCACUGUUUUUUCUCUUGAUAUGGGGAAUACAGUAUACCAUGUAGCAUAUAUGCCACUGUGUUAAUUUGGUUUGUGUCUGCCUGGGGUCUUUCUGUAUUUGUAUAGGUCUGUUUUAUCCUUAUGUUAUAGCCAUCAGUGUUUUCCUUUAACUGUAAUCAUUUUCAUACAUUAUUAAACAAUGUAAAUGGGUAA
Malaclemys terrapin pileata is the source of this 2192-nucleotide long non-coding RNA. RefSeq lists it as uncharacterized. Lineage: Eukaryota; Metazoa; Chordata; Testudines; Emydidae. The record is from RefSeq and is a predicted model, not a curated record. The transcript is spliced from 7 exons.